ACCGCUUCUCGGCCUUUUGGCUAAGAUCAAGUGUAGUAUCUGUUCUUAUCAGUUUAAUAUCUAUACGUCCUCUGUCUGAGGACAAUAUAUUAAAUGGAUUUUUGGAGCAGGGAGAAGGAUUAGGAGCUUGCUCGGUCCACUCUGUACAUCGACCUGGUAUUGCAGUACCUCUGGGAAUGGUGUACCAGAA
This is a small nuclear RNA of Lemur catta (Ring-tailed lemur), 190 nucleotides long. RefSeq annotates it as U2 spliceosomal RNA. The record is from RefSeq and is a predicted model, not a curated record. Lineage: Eukaryota; Metazoa; Chordata; Mammalia; Primates; Lemuridae. The transcript has a single exon.